This 806-nucleotide ribosomal RNA is filed under the name Ramularia uredinicola. RNAcentral's name for it is "eukaryotic LSU rRNA". It matches the Rfam family "Eukaryotic large subunit ribosomal RNA", at positions 95 to 932 of the family's 3401-position model. The record is from RNAcentral. Lineage: Eukaryota; Fungi; Ascomycota; Dothideomycetes; Mycosphaerellales; Mycosphaerellaceae.
GAAGCGGCAACAGCUCAAAUUUGAAAUCUGGCGCAAGCCCGAGUUGUAAUUUGUAGAGGAUGCUUCUAGGUAGCGACCGGUCUAAGUUCCUUGGAACAGGACGUCAUAGAGGGUGAGAAUCCCGUAUGUGACCGGCCCGCACCUUCUACGUAGCUCCUUCGACGAGUCGAGUUGUUUGGGAAUGCAGCUCUAAAUGGGAGGUAAAUUUCUUCUAAAGCUAAAUACCGGCCAGAGACCGAUAGCGCACAAGUAGAGUGAUCGAAAGAUGAAAAGCACUUUGGAAAGAGAGUUAAAAAGCACGUGAAAUUGUUGAAAGGGAAGCGCUUACAACCAGACUUCUGGGCGGUGUUCCGCCGGUCUUCUGACCGGUCUACUCGCCGUCCCGAGGCCAACAUCAUCUGGGACCGCUGGAUAAGACCUGAGGAAUGUAGCUCCCCUCGGGGAGUGUUAUAGCCUCUGGUGAUGCAGCGCGUCUCGGGUGAGGUCCGCGCUUCGGCAAGGAUGUUGGCGUAAUGGUUGUCAGCGGCCCGUCUUGAAACACGGACCAAGGAGUCUAACAUCUAUGCGAGUGUUCGGGUGUCAAACCCCUACGCGUAAUGAAAGUGAACGGAGGUGGGAAGGGUAACCUGCACCAUCGACCGAUCCUGAUGUCCUCGGAUGGAUUUGAGUAAGAGCAUAGCUGUUGGGACCCGAAAGAUGGUGAACUAUGCCUGAAUAGGGUGAAGCCAGAGGAAACUCUGGUGGAGGCUCGCAGCGGUUCUGACGUGCAAAUCGAUCGUCAAAUUUGGGUAUAGGGGCGAAAGACU